Molecule: long non-coding RNA, 1388 nt
Organism: Mesocricetus auratus (golden hamster)
Lineage: Eukaryota; Metazoa; Chordata; Mammalia; Rodentia; Cricetidae
Exons: 3
Source: RefSeq, a predicted model, not a curated record
UCAACCAAACAGAGGACGUUAGUAAAGGCCUCUGAACAGAGAUUUACUGGACGUUACUUGUGCAUCUGUGUAGGUACGGGCCCUGUACACAGAAGACUCCAGAAGAGGGUGUCAGAGUCUCCAGAGCUAGAGUCAUGGGCAGAAUGUGUGCAAGGAACUGAAUUCAGGUCCUCCGCACGAGCAGCCUGCCACGCCUGAUCUUCACAUGGGUUUCACUCCACGUCCAGGGUGUCCAGGACUGUCGCGGGGACUGUUUUUAUCUGGUUCUAUGUACAGCUGCCCAGGGCCAGAGCUGGAGAUGUGGGCUUGGGGCCUAUGUAACCCAGAGCCAGUAGACACAGUUCCCCAGGAGAGAAACAUUCUGUAGGUGCGGAGGGGAGUGACUUGAUACAUCUGAAGACUAGCAGGUGCUCAGAGUUAGAGGAAACCACUUGGAUUUGUGAGCUUUCCCGGAGGCUCCAGUCAAACCCUUUAGAAGCUUGAGGGUUAGAGUACAGGGAGAGUGUCCAUCAGGAACCUAGACAGGUUUGGUGAAUUUCUCAGGUUCCAGUGUUAGAGAAGAACGAGGGCAAACAUCAAAGAACCUCUGUGUUGCUUGCAGCAACUCUCCUGUCCGUGACGCCUGGGCACCACAUCCGGCCAGUCAACAUUUCUCAAAUGAGUGAAUGAGUAAUACUCAGCUAGGUGCUCACACAGGUGCUGCCUCAUUUGACCUUACAACCACCUCUGAGGGAGGGGAGAGAUUGGUAUCCUUUCUUCCUGGGGAGUGCCUGAUGCUCAGAGGGGUGAAAUGACUACCCAGAACGUCACUGUUCACAGACACAGCUAUUUCAGCAAAGGAUGAGCAAAGAUCUUCGGCACAGAGCAGUUCUGAUUCCGGAUUGAAACCGACGUUGGUAUGCUCUAAGUUUCAAAGAGUGAAUGACGGAGAAUCUAGUCUCACGAUAAAAGGGAGAUCUAGGCACUGGCAGGACUUGCUGUCCUGGUAAAGACGUGCUGGCCCCGGAGGUCUGCGCUAAUGCUGAGAAUCAGAGACCAGACACUCUCUGCUGGCACGGCCCACAUGCCUGGCACAGCUCUUGCAAAGUUGUCUGCAGAACUGCAGGCUCAGAAGCAUGGGCUGGCUCCGUGGGGCACGGGGUAGCCUUUCUCCUUGACUUUCCUGGUGUUCACCAAAAUUCCCUGUGACUGCUACAACCUCCCUAGCCUUGCUGCUCUGGACUUGAGGUUCAUUUUCCCCAGGACUUAAUCCUUGUGUGUGUGAGGUGAUUUGAAUACCAGUCACCAUGCUGGGCCUAAAGCUCACACUGAGUUUUUUUUAAUUAAAAUUUUUAUUUUAUUAAUAAAAUAAUUGAUCUUUUCUUUGUGACUUGAAAUGCAGCCUGCCG